AUGUAUACUUGUGCCAUGUUGCUGUGCCUCUAUCAAAUCUUACAUAUGUAUACUUGUGCCUUGUUGGUGUGCUGCACCCAUCAACUCGUCAUUUACAUCAGGUAUAACUCCCAAUGCAAUCCCUCCCCCCUCCCCCCUCCCCAUGAUAGGCCCCGGUGUGUGAUGUUCCCCUUCCCGAGUCCAAGUGAUCUCAUUGUUCAGUUCCCACCUAUGAGUGAGAACAUGCGGUGUUUGGUUUUCUGUUCUUGUGAUAGUUUGCUAAGAAUGAUGGAUUCCAGCUGCAUCCAUGUCCCUACAAAGGACACAAACUCAUCCUUUUUUAUGGCUGCAUAGUAUUCCAUGGUGUAUAUGUGCCACAUUUUCUUAAUCCAAUCUGUCACUGAUGGACAUUUGGGUUGAUUCCAAGUCUUUGCUAUUGUGAAUAGUGCUGCAAUAAACAUACGUGUGCAUGUGUCUUUAUAGCAGCAUAAUUUAUAAUCCUUUGGGUAUAUACCCAGUAAUGGGAUGGCUGGGUCAUAUGGUACAUCUAGUUCUAGAUCCUUGAGGAAUCGCCAUACUGUUUUCCAUAAUGGUUGAACUAGUUUACAAUCCCACCAACAGUGUAAAAGUGUUCCUAUUUCUCCACAUCCUCUCCAGCACCUGUUGUUUCCUGACUUUUUAAUGAUUGCCAUUCUAACUGGUGUGAGAUGGUAUCUCAUUGUGGUUUUGAUUUGCAUUUCUCUGAUGGCCAGUGAUGAUGAGCAUUUUUUCAUGUGUUUGUUGGCUGUACCAUUCAGGACAUAGGCAUGGGCAAAGACUUCAUGUCUAAAACACCAAAAGCAACGGCAGCAAAAGCCAAAAUUGACAAAUGGGAUCUCAUUAAACUAAAGAGCUUCUGCACAGCAAAAGAAACUACCAUCAGAGUGAACAGGCAACCUACAGAAUGGGAGAAAAUUUUUGCAAUCUACUCAUCUGACAAAGGGCUAAUAUCCAGAACCUACAAAGAACUCAAACAAAUUUACAAGAAAAAAACAAACAACCCCAUCAAAAAGUGGGCAAAGGAUAUGAAUAGACAUUUCCAGCUUGUAUCUUGAUAUCCCAGGACUAUGUCCCAUU
Molecule: long non-coding RNA, 1095 nt
Filed under: Papio anubis (olive baboon)
Lineage: Eukaryota; Metazoa; Chordata; Mammalia; Primates; Cercopithecidae
Description: lncRNA (ENSPANG00000041050.1)
Source: RNAcentral